RNAcentral lists this non-coding RNA (26 nucleotides) under unclassified sequences. The record is from RNAcentral.
GGAAUCGCUGGGUCGCCUGCGAUUCU